This 433-nucleotide ribosomal RNA is filed under the name uncultured bacterium. Its description in RNAcentral is "partial 16S ribosomal RNA". It matches the Rfam family "Bacterial small subunit ribosomal RNA", at positions 29 to 507 of the family's 1533-position model. The record is from RNAcentral.
AACGAACGCUGGCGGCAUGCCUAACACAUGCAAGUCGAACGAGACCUUCGGGGAUAGUGGCGGACGGGAGAGUAACGCCUAGGAACAUGCACUUAGGUUCGCAAUAACUGCCAGAAAGGGGUGCUAAUACCGGACAAUCUCUUCCGACAAACGAUUUAUUGCCGUUGGCUGGGCGCGCGAUGGAUUAGAUAGUUGGUAGAGUAACAGCCUACCAAGGCGACGAUGUAUAGCUGGUCUGAUAGGAUGACCAGCCACGCUGGGAGUGAGGCCCGGCCCAGACUCGUACGGGAGGCGGGGGUAGGGAAUAUUAGAGGAUGAGCGAAAGCCUGAUCAAGCAAGGCCGCGUGAGUGAUGAAGGCCUUAGUGGUGUAACUCUCUUUUAGACGGGGUGAUAAUGACAGUACCGGGAGAAUAAGCCCCGGCUAACUCCGUG